CUCCGUGUAAUGUACCUUUGGGACCUGUGUGCUGUGUCAGCUUCCUUUUCUAGCCACUGAAGAGCAGAUUCUUGUUUAUUGGCACAGUUGUCACCAUGUAGUUGGUAUCAUAUUCUAAUUUGCACAGUAACCUUC
Small nucleolar RNA from Meriones unguiculatus (Mongolian gerbil), 135 nucleotides. The record is from Ensembl. Lineage: Eukaryota; Metazoa; Chordata; Mammalia; Rodentia; Muridae.